RNAcentral lists this ribosomal RNA (463 nucleotides) under uncultured bacterium. Its description in RNAcentral is "bacterial SSU rRNA". It matches the Rfam family "Bacterial small subunit ribosomal RNA", at positions 29 to 534 of the family's 1533-position model. The record is from RNAcentral.
AACGAACGCUGGCGGCAGGCUUAACACAUGCAAGUCGAACGCCCACUUCGGUGGGGAGUGGCAGACGGGUGAGUAACGCGUGGAAACAUACCUUUUGCUUCGGAAUAUUCCCGGGAAACUGGGAGCAAUACCGAAUGUGCCCUGAGGGGGAAAGAUUUUAUCGGCAAAAGAUUGGUCCGCGUUAGAUUAGGUAGUUGGUAGGGUAAAGGCCUACCAAGCCUACGAUCUAUAGCUGGUCUGAGAGGAUGAUCAGCCACAUUGGGACUGAGACACGGCCCAAACUCCUACGGGAGGCAGCAGUGGGGAAUAUUGGACAAUGGGCGCAAGCCUGAUCCAGCCAUGCCGCGUGAAUGAUGAAGGCCUUAGGGUUGUAAAAUUCUUUCACCGGGGACGAUAAUGACGGUACCCGGAGAAGAAGCCCCGGCUAACUUCGUGCCAGCAGCCGCGGUUAAAACGUCUACUG